GUACUUACCUGGCAAGGGAGACACCAUGAUCACCAAGGUGGUUUUUCCAGGGCAAGGCUUAUCCAUUGCACUAAGGAUGUGUUGAUCCUUGCAAUUUCCCCCAAAUGUGGGCAUCUCAGCUGCAUUACUUUUGAGGU
This 137-nucleotide small nuclear RNA is filed under the name Ictidomys tridecemlineatus (thirteen-lined ground squirrel). RNAcentral's name for it is "U1 spliceosomal RNA (ENSSTOG00000017054.2)". It matches the Rfam family "U1 spliceosomal RNA". From Rfam's summary of the family: U1 is a small nuclear RNA (snRNA) component of the spliceosome (involved in pre-mRNA splicing). Its 5' end forms complementary base pairs with the 5' splice junction, thus defining the 5' donor site of an intron. The record is from RNAcentral. Lineage: Eukaryota; Metazoa; Chordata; Mammalia; Rodentia; Sciuridae.